GACGAACGCUGGCGGCGUGCUUAACACAUGCAAGUCGAACGGAAAGGCCCUGCUUUUGUGGGGUGCUCGAGUGGCGAACGGGUGAGUAACACGUGAGUAACCUGCCCUUGACUUUGUGAUAACUUCAGGAAACUGGGGCUAAUACCGGAUAGGAGCUCCUGCUGCAUGGUGGGGGUUGGAAAGUUUCGGCGGUUGGGGAUGGACUCGCGGCUUAUCAGCUUGUUGGUGGGGUAGUGGCUUACCAAGGCUUUGACGGGUAGCCGGCCUGAGAGGGUGACCGGCCACAUUGGGACUGAGAUACGGCCCAGACUCCUACGGGAGGCAGCAGUGUGGAAUAUUGCACAAUGGGCGGAAGCCUGAUGCAGCAACGCCGCGUGCGGGAUGACGGCCUUCGGGUUGUAAACCGCUUUCGCCUGUGACGAAGCGUGAGUGACGGUAAUGGGUAAAGAAGCACCGGCUAACUACGUG
RNAcentral lists this ribosomal RNA (468 nucleotides) under uncultured bacterium. RNAcentral describes it as "partial 16S ribosomal RNA". It matches the Rfam family "Bacterial small subunit ribosomal RNA", at positions 28 to 507 of the family's 1533-position model. The record is from RNAcentral.